UGUGGAGCUUAACCUUCCUUUAGAAAGAUAAUUUAAAUUUAAAUAAAAUCUCCUCUAAUAAGAAGGAUUGGUUGGGGUAACCAUGGAGAAAAACUAGUCUCCUGUAACAUAAAAAGAAAAUUAUUCAAUUAUAAAAUCAAAGAACCAGUUAAUUCUGGUAAACAGAAAAAGUUACCGCAGGGAUAACAGCGUAAUCUCCUUUAAGAGUCCAAAUUGACAAGGAGGAUCACGACCUCGAUGUUGGAUUGGGAUCACCAAAAGGUGCAGAAGCUUUUUAGGUUGGACUGUUCGUCCAUUAAUAUCCCACAUGAUCUGAGUUCAGACCGACGAGAGUCAGGUCAGUUUCUAUCUUCUUACAUAAAAGUUUUUCCAGUACGAAAGGACCAAAAAAUAUCUUCAAAUAAUUUUUAUUAAGAAGAACAUUAAUCAUAUAUCACAAUUUAUUUCACCAAAUCAUACACACAAACUUUUAAACAUAAUUUUAUAAAAAUGAAA
This 495-nucleotide ribosomal RNA is filed under the name Pentamera lissoplaca. RNAcentral's name for it is "partial large subunit rRNA". The stretch from base 1 to 354 matches the Rfam family "Bacterial large subunit ribosomal RNA", at positions 2092 to 2646 of the family's 2925-position model. Lineage: Eukaryota; Metazoa; Echinodermata; Holothuroidea; Dendrochirotida; Phyllophoridae. The record is from RNAcentral.